AAGGCAGGGAUGUGGCUUUUGGGGCAAGGCAGGCAGCAGCUCUCCCUUGGUGGUAGAUGCCAGUCAUUGAAUGAAGCCUGCAAGAAGUCUCAUGAAGCAGGGGCUGUAACUUAUUAAGAAUUGUCCACAAACAGCAUCAGAGUUAUUUCUCUAAAAUUGUCCACUUUUCCCUUCAGCUUGUGGAGUAG
Molecule: long non-coding RNA, 188 nt
Organism: Perognathus longimembris pacificus (Pacific pocket mouse)
Lineage: Eukaryota; Metazoa; Chordata; Mammalia; Rodentia; Heteromyidae
Exons: 4
Source: RefSeq, a predicted model, not a curated record